RNA transcript from Nannospalax galili (Upper Galilee mountains blind mole rat), 2199 nucleotides. It is a transcript of the gene named MYST/Esa1 associated factor 6, with no coding region annotated. NCBI's taxonomy places the organism in Eukaryota, Metazoa, Chordata, Mammalia, Rodentia, Spalacidae. The record is from RefSeq and is a predicted model, not a curated record. The transcript has 10 exons.
GCGGCGACGGCGCGCAGGACCCGCCCCCAGGUCGCGCGCCGCCGCCGCCUGAGCCCAACAUGGCGAUGCACAACAAGACGGCGCCGCCGCAGAUCCCAGACACCCGGCGGGAGCUGGCGGAGCUGGUGAAGCGGAAGCAGGAGCUGGCGGAAACACUUGCAAACCUGGAGAGACAGAUCUAUGCUUUUGAAGGAAGCUACCUGGAAGACACUCAGAUGUAUGGCAAUAUUAUCCGGGGCUGGGAUCGGUAUCUGACCAACCAAAAAAACUCCAAUAGCAAAAACGAUCGGAGGAACCGGAAAUUUAAGGAAGCAGAGCGGCUCUUCAGUAAAUCUUCAGUUACCUCAGCAGCUGCAGUAAGUGCAUUGGCAGGAGUUCAGGACCAGCUCAUCGAAAAGACAAAAGACGGGUUGGUGGCACAUGCCUGUAAUGUCAGCACUCAGCAGGUGGAGGCAGGAGGAUCAGAAGUUCAAGGGGAGCCAGGGAGCGGGACAGAAAGUGAUGCUUCUCCAGAUUUCCACAAUCAGGAGAACGAGCCUGCCCCUGAGGACCCAGAGGACCUGGACGGCUCUGUGCAGGGAGUGAAGCCCCAGAAGGCUGCCUCUUCUACCUCCUCAGGGAGUCACCACAGCAGCCACAAAAAACGGAAGAAUAAAAACCGGCACAGUUCUCUGCAGCAUGCUGCCUUCAGGUAUGUAUAUUAGGUUAGGCUGGGAAGUUUUUUUUAAAAACAGAAAAACGUGAUGGAGGAUUGAUCUGAAGUUAAACAAAAAGCCCCGAGCUGACUAUUAGAAGACGCAUUUGCAGAAGCUUCAGGCUGUGAAGCCCUGCUUCCCCUCUGACCUCACAGAGACAGUGUCCCUCACCUGACUGUGUGGCCAUCCGCCUCUGCCCUCCCAGACCCAGUGCCUGUGACUGAGUAAUUUGUCCUAACUAUAGUGACACGUCAUUUCUGCGGGUCCUUCACUGUUGUCAUUGUUAAGUAGCGGAACUUCGGGAAGACCCAUCUUUGGUCCUAGUCCCUAUGGGUGGCUACAUUUCUCCCUUCUUAGAAUGAAUAUUUCCCUUCUUAGAAUGAAUAUUUCCCCCCAAACUGGCUGGCACCAGCUCCAUCUGUGAAACCCCCCCCCACACACACACACAUCGAGACGUGCACAUCUCUGGUUUUGUUUUAUGCUGAAAGUAGGAUCCAAAUCCCAUUGCAGAUGGAGGCUGUAAAUAUCUACCAUUCUCUUUUUUUGUUUUGUGUUGUAUUGUUUUUCUAUUGUUGUUUUUAUCAUCUGAUUUUCUUUUGGGACAUUUUGUGAUGCCUUCUUACAGUUCAUAGCUUCCCAAUGACACACCUGGUCAUCUGUCUCCAGCUGUUGUCCUAUUAACUAAAGUGGCUUUCUGGAAGUAAAAUGGGCAGCUUGGCUCUUUGGCUUUUUGGUUUCCGCGGCGGGGAGGUAAAGCGUGUUUAUCGAAUGUCUGCCUGUCUGAAGCCUGUCAAAGGUGGAAGCUGUUUCAUGUUUGAUGAAACAGCUGAAAAAUAUACAUUUUAAAUCCAUCCUCUUAAUGGACAUUUCAUUCUUUUGCGGGAAAUAGAAUUUGCCAGGCUUCAACGUCUUGUGCUUUCCUGCUCAGCCCGAGGUUCUUUCCUGUGUUUUACUUCUCAUAUCAUGCUGGGUGGGCAUUUUCGUUUUCAGUCUUUUCUUUUUUUGUUGAUAGUCUCCUGGUCAGAUACUGCUCUAAAAGUCAUCAAUAGAAUGGGAAAGCUCAGAAUUAUGGAAAGACAGGUGCUGCCUCCCUGCAGUGGGCUCAGACGUGGCACAUGACCUCUCCUCUCUGCAGUGCAGUGUGGCCUUGGCUGCACAUUACAAUCGCCUGGGACACCCAACCCAGUGCUGUACUGGGACCCCACUCCAAGACUCUCGGUGUUGGGGUUCUCUCACAGAGUCUGGGGUACCUAUUAGGGACCAGCUUGAGGCCACUGCACUAGAGACUGAGCAGCAUGCUAUGAUCAGGCACGGGGUGGGGGGGCAGUGUUUUGUAAGAUUUGGGUCCUUGAAAGUCGCAGUCCUUUCUGAGACCUGGGUCUUUAUAGGAGACAUGGACCCAUUGUGGUCAUGCUGCUGGGCUGAGUGUGACUGGCAUCUUAUCAAAACUUCAUUCCAUGUGCAAAAGCCUUCACCCUCUCAAAUAAACUUUCAUUUUCCUGGA